RNAcentral lists this long non-coding RNA (480 nucleotides) under Mytilus galloprovincialis (Mediterranean mussel). Lineage: Eukaryota; Metazoa; Mollusca; Bivalvia; Mytilida; Mytilidae. The record is from RNAcentral.
GCCGGUGUCAUAUGGUAUUUUGAACCCCAUGGUAAAUUGACCCCGGGGUCAAAAUACCGCUAUGGUAAAUUGAACCCCCCAUGGUAAAUUGAACCCCCCCUGUAUGGAAAAUUGAACCCCCAUGGUAAAUUGAACCCCCCUGUUUUUUUCAUCCUAGAUGAAUAUUAGAACAUUUUACAUUAUUCUAAAGCUUAUCAUAGAUUAAAAAAUCAUUCAUACAAGAAGGGGAGGUACAUUUUCCAUGCUUAAUUAAAAGAAAUAUCUUUGCUUGGUAUAAGUGCUCUGAAGUCUUUACCAACAAAAUGUCAUUCAAAAUACUUAUUGACACAUUAUAACUAGACCAUAUGUAGCUUGAAUGCUUUAAUUAUUUGUAAUUAUAACAUAUGUAUAUAUAUAUAUAAGGGUAGUUUUGAUUUUCCAUGGUAAAAAAAGGGGGAGGGGGUCAAAAUACCAUGGCAAAGUAAAAUUUUAAAAAAUAUC